This 210-nucleotide long non-coding RNA is filed under the name Lathyrus oleraceus (garden pea). Its description in RNAcentral is "Pisum sativum (pea) long non-coding RNA (PSAT_LNC025367)". The record is from RNAcentral. Lineage: Eukaryota; Viridiplantae; Streptophyta; Magnoliopsida; Fabales; Fabaceae.
AACUUAUCCUUUUAUUUUUUAAUGCCCCUUGGCAAUCAUUAUUUCACCUGACCGUUUAAUCUUUUUUUUUCAACAUCUUGAAUAUAGGUUCGCACGUGGCUGUUAGGUGAGAUGUGAACCAUGACAGGUAGUUCAUUCUUUCUAAGAAACCACGAACCUCUUUCUUUACUUUUUCUCGGUUCAGGCGUUUCUCUUAUUGUUCUUUUUUUU